RNAcentral lists this ribosomal RNA (274 nucleotides) under uncultured bacterium. RNAcentral's name for it is "partial 16S ribosomal RNA". It matches the Rfam family "Bacterial small subunit ribosomal RNA", at positions 523 to 796 of the family's 1533-position model. The record is from RNAcentral.
AUACGGGGGGAGCAAGCGUUGUCCGGAAUCACUGGGCGUAAAGGGCGUGUAGGCGGGCUGAUAAGUCAGAUGUGAAAGCCCACGGCUUAACCGUGGAAUUGCAUUUGAUACUGUCAGUCUUGAGUGCGAGAGAGGGUAGUGGAAUUCCCGGUGUAGCGGUGAAAUGCGUUGAUAUCAGGAAGAACACCAGUAGCGAAGGCGGCUACCUGGCUCGCAACUGACGCUAAGGCGCGAAAGCGUGGGGAGCAAACAGGAUUAGAAACCCGAGUAGUCC